GGGAGCCGCGUGGUAGUUUAUAUUGAUGCGUGGCCGAAGCCUGGCUUGACGUACAAGGUUAUAACAGAAAGAGUUUGGGUAGAAUACAAGAGAAGGAAGGAGGUUAAGAUUACAACUCUAUAUUCUAACACCCUCCCUUAAUCUCAACUAACCUAAGUUAAGAUUACUCUUGAAUUCUUCAAAUGGUCUUGCUGGUAGUGCUUUUGUAAAACCGUCAGCCACUUGAUCCUUAGAAGGAAUAAAUCGAAUCUCAAGUUUCUUUGCCGCAACCCUUUCUCGUACAAAGUGAAAAUCAAUUUCUAUGUGCUUUGUCCUGGCAUGGAACACUGGAUUUGCAGACAGAUAUGUUGCUCCCAAAUUAUCACACCAUAAACAUGAGGUACGAUUCUUCUUGAUUCCCAAUUCCUCAAGAAGUGAUUCAACCCAAAUGAUCUCAGCAGUUGCAUUAGCCAAAGACUUGUAUUCAGCUUCUGUACUUGAGCGUGACACAGUAGCUUGCUUUCUAGCACUCCAGGAGAUAAGAUUAGAUCCAAAGAACACUGCAAAACCUCCAGUUGAUCUUCUGUCAUCACUACAUCCUGCCCAGUCAGCAUCAGAGAAUGCACUCACAAGAGAAGAAUUAGACCGUUUGAAAUGAAGUCCUAUUCCCAUAGUAUGUUUCACAUAUCUCACAAUCCUCUUGACAGCUGACCAAUGUGCAGAAGUAGGUGCAUGAAGAUAUUGACAAACC
This 730-nucleotide ribosomal RNA is filed under the name Triticum aestivum (bread wheat). Its description in RNAcentral is "partial small subunit ribosomal RNA". The record is from RNAcentral. Lineage: Eukaryota; Viridiplantae; Streptophyta; Magnoliopsida; Poales; Poaceae.